CACGUAGGGCGCGAGCGUUGUCCGGAAUUAUUGGGCGUAAAGAGCUCGUAGGCGGCCUGUUGCGUCCGCUGUGAAAGCCCGGGGCUUAACCCCGGGUCGGCAGUGGAUACGGGCAGGCUGGAGGUAGGUAGGGGAGAAUGGAAUUCCCGGUGUAGCGGUGAAAUGCGCAGAUAUCGGGAGGAACACCGGUGGCGAAGGCGGUUCUCUGGGCCUUACCUGACGCUGAGGAGCGAAAGCGUGGGGAGCGAACAGG
Molecule: ribosomal RNA, 253 nt
Filed under: uncultured bacterium
Lineage: Bacteria
Description: partial 16S ribosomal RNA
Rfam family: Bacterial small subunit ribosomal RNA
Source: RNAcentral